AAUCAUAUAAUUAUCUCAGUCACAUAGAAACUUAGGAUAACAA
This 43-nucleotide transfer RNA is filed under the name Hylarana malayana (Malayan dark-side frog). RNAcentral describes it as "partial tRNA-Trp". The record is from RNAcentral. Lineage: Eukaryota; Metazoa; Chordata; Amphibia; Anura; Ranidae.